CGUGUAGGCGGUUUCGUAAGUCGGAUGUGAAAGCUCCUGGCUCAACUGGGAGAGGCCAUUCGAUACUGCGGGACUUAAGGACGGGAGAGGGACGUGGAAUUCCCGGUGUAGUGGUGGAAUGCGUAGAUAUCGGGAGGAACACCAGUGGCGAAGGCGACGUCCUGGCCCGCACCUGACGCUAAGACGCGAAAGCGUGGGUAGCGAACG
Molecule: ribosomal RNA, 207 nt
Filed under: uncultured bacterium
Lineage: Bacteria
Description: partial 16S ribosomal RNA
Rfam family: Bacterial small subunit ribosomal RNA
Source: RNAcentral